Molecule: unclassified non-coding RNA, 148 nt
Organism: Pongo abelii (Sumatran orangutan)
Lineage: Eukaryota; Metazoa; Chordata; Mammalia; Primates; Hominidae
Rfam family: Metazoan signal recognition particle RNA
About the family: The signal recognition particle (SRP) is a universally conserved ribonucleoprotein. It is involved in the co-translational targeting of proteins to membranes.
Source: Ensembl
GCCAGGUGUGGUGGUGUGUGCCUGUGGUCCCAGCUACAUAGGAGGCUGAGGUGGGAGGAUUCCUUGAGACCAGGAGGUUGGGGCUGCAGUGAGCUGUGAUCAUGCCACUGCACUCCAGCCUGGGCAACAAAGUGAGACCCUGUCUCUA